CUGUUCUCAACUUUCUCCUGGAGAUAGGCAGCCUCACAAGAAGCCCAAGGAUAUCUGCCUGCUCUGACUCCCACUCUGAGAUGGCUGCCCUCCCUUUUCCUUGGCCAUGCCUUCCUGCUGCAGGGCUCUGAGCACUUGUAAGAC
Non-coding RNA from Loxodonta africana (African savanna elephant), 144 nucleotides. The record is from Rfam. NCBI's taxonomy places the organism in Eukaryota, Metazoa, Chordata, Mammalia, Proboscidea, Elephantidae.